AACGAGGCCGACCUGCGGCUGAGUUACCUGCGGAGGGAUCAUUACCGAGUUAUACAACUCAUCAACCCUGUGAACAUACCUAAAACGUUGCCUCGGCGGGAACAGACGGCCCCGUAACACGGGCCGCCCCCGCCAGAGGACCCCCUAACUCUGUUUCUAUAAUGUUUUUUCUGAGUAAACAAGCAAAUAAAUCAAAACUUUCAACAACGGAUCU
Molecule: unclassified non-coding RNA, 214 nt
Filed under: soil metagenome
Description: partial contains 5.8S ribosomal RNA, internal transcribed spacer 2, and large subunit ribosomal RNA
Source: RNAcentral